CUCUGUCUGGCAGGAAGAACAAAGCAACAACUAGUUAUUUGGAGCCCUGUUUUCAUCCUUUAGGAGUUCGAUUCAGGACACGAAGCAGUAGAAGAAAUUGUAGAUCAAGGAAAAGAAUAUCGUCUUGGAGUGGCAUUUUGGAGCAGUUGGAGCCGGUAUUCUCAGGAGAAGUAACUGAAAAAGUUGUAGAUCAAGGACCACAAUUCAGUAGGAGCUCGCCUUUGCAUUUAAGAGGACCAAAGCAGCUCCCAAGAGGCCAAGAUGAAGAGGAAAAAACCUCCCGAUAGAAAGCCAUG
This is a long non-coding RNA of Lolium rigidum, 296 nucleotides long. RefSeq lists it as uncharacterized. The transcript has 3 exons. The record is from RefSeq and is a predicted model, not a curated record. NCBI's taxonomy places the organism in Eukaryota, Viridiplantae, Streptophyta, Magnoliopsida, Poales, Poaceae.